RNAcentral lists this ribosomal RNA (481 nucleotides) under uncultured Saprospiraceae bacterium. Its description in RNAcentral is "bacterial SSU rRNA". It matches the Rfam family "Bacterial small subunit ribosomal RNA", at positions 28 to 505 of the family's 1533-position model. Lineage: Bacteria; Pseudomonadati; Bacteroidota; Saprospiria; Saprospirales; Saprospiraceae. The record is from RNAcentral.
GAUGAACGCUAGCGGGAGGCUUAAUACAUGCAAGUCGAGGGGUAACAUGGGAGCUUGCUCCUGAUGACGACCGGCGCACGGGUGAGUAACGCGUACACGACCUACCUUUAAGUGGGGGAUAGCCUUGGGAAACUGAGAUUAAUACCCCAUAGUAUUGUUAUAAUUAUGUUUUAGCAAUUAAAGCUGAGGCGCUUAAAGAUGGGUGUGCGUCCCAUUAGGUAGUUGGUAGGGUAAUGGCCUACCAAGCCGACGAUGGGUAGGGGGCGUGAGAGCGUGACCCCCCACACGGGUACUGAGACACGGACCCGACUCCUACGGGAGGCAGCAGUAAGGAAUAUUGGACAAUGGGCGAGAGCCUGAUCCAGCCAUCCCGCGUGUAGGAUGACUGCCCUCUGGGUUGUAAACUACUUUUGGAAGGGAAGAAUAGGAAGUAUUUAUGCUUCUGUGACGGUACCUUCAGAAUAAGCACCGGCUAACUCCG